RNAcentral lists this ribosomal RNA (773 nucleotides) under uncultured Neocallimastigales. RNAcentral's name for it is "partial large subunit ribosomal RNA". The stretch from base 6 to 663 matches the Rfam family "Eukaryotic large subunit ribosomal RNA", at positions 24 to 664 of the family's 3401-position model. Lineage: Eukaryota; Fungi; Neocallimastigomycota; Neocallimastigomycetes; Neocallimastigales. The record is from RNAcentral.
GUAGUCUCGCACAGAUGCAUAUCAAUAAGCGGAGGAAAAGAAACUAACAAGGAUUCCCUCAGUAACGGCGAGUGAAGCGGGAAGAGCUCAAAUUUGAAAUCUUGAAAGGUCACCUUUCACGAAUUGUAGUUUAAAGAAGUGUUUUCUGUUACGAUCGUAAUAUAAGUUCUUUGGAAUAGGACAUCACAGAGGGUGAGAAUCCCGUCUAUGAUUGCGAUUUGUAGCUUUGUGAUACAGCUUUCAAAGAGUCGGGUUGUUUGGGAAUGCAGCCCAAAACGGGAGGUAAAUUUCUUCUAAGGCUAAAUAUUGGCGAGAGACCGAUAGCGAACAAGUACCGUGAGGGAAAGAUGAAAAGAACUUUGAAAAGAGAGUUAAAUAGUACGUGAAAUUGUCAAAAGGGAAGCGUUUAACACCAGUGUUGUUUUCUGAAAAUCAACCUCUGUUAGCUUUAUGCAUGUUUGUUUAGACCUAAUCAGGCUAUCUCUCAUGUUCUAUUGUUUGCAGUGGUGCACUUUUCAGUUUACAGGUCAACAUCAGUUUUUUUUACCGUAAAAAAGUUAAAGAAAGGUAGCUCAUGGCUCCGGUCGUGAGUGUUAUAGUCUUUUUCCUAUGCGGUAGGAGAGACUGAGGUCUGCAGUGUAGGCUAUUUGGCUAGAUACUCAGGUGCUAUGUGAUACCAUUUCAUAAACAACUUGUUGAUUAUGUUUUGUCUAUUGCAUACUCGCUUGUACUAUCAUACCUACGCUUAGGAUGUUGAGUCGUAGAGCACGCAG